This 484-nucleotide ribosomal RNA is filed under the name uncultured bacterium. RNAcentral's name for it is "partial 16S ribosomal RNA". It matches the Rfam family "Bacterial small subunit ribosomal RNA", at positions 28 to 507 of the family's 1533-position model. The record is from RNAcentral.
AUUGAACGCUGGCGGCAUGCUUUACACAUGCAAGUCGAACGGCAGCGCGGGCUUCGGCCUGGCGGCGAGUGGCGAACGGGUGAGUAAUGCAUCGGAACGUGCCCAGUAGUGGGGGAUAGCCCGGCGAAAGCCGGAUUAAUACCGCAUACGACCUGAGGGUGAAAGCGGGGGACCGAAAGGCCUCGCGCUAUUGGAGCGGCCGAUGUCGGAUUAGCUAGUUGGUGGGGUAAAGGCUUACCAAGGCGACGAUCCGUAGCUGGUCUGAGACGACGACCAGCCACACUGGGACUGAGACACGGCCCAGACUCCUACGGGAGGCAGCAGUGGGGAAUUUUGGACAAUGGGGGCAACCCUGAUCCAGCCAUGCCGCGUGCGGGAAGAAGGCCUUCGGGUUGUAAACCGCUUUUGUUCGGGAAGAAAUCCUCUGGGCUAAUACCCCGGGGGGAUGACGGUACCGGAAGAAUAAGCACCGGCUAACUACGUG